GUGGCCGUAGCUCAACUGGCUAGAGCGUCUGCUUGUGGAGCAGAAGGUUGUCGGAUCGUCCCCGAUCGGCCACCCCA
RNAcentral lists this transfer RNA (77 nucleotides) under bacterium. RNAcentral's name for it is "tRNA-His". It matches the Rfam family "tRNA". Rfam says of the family: Transfer RNA (tRNA) molecules are approximately 80 nucleotides in length. The record is from RNAcentral.